RNAcentral lists this ribosomal RNA (253 nucleotides) under uncultured bacterium. RNAcentral's name for it is "partial 16S ribosomal RNA". It matches the Rfam family "Bacterial small subunit ribosomal RNA", at positions 524 to 776 of the family's 1533-position model. The record is from RNAcentral.
UACGUAGGGUGCAAGCGUUGUCCGGAAUUAUUGGGCGUAAAGAGCUCGUAGGCGGUCUGUCACGUCGGACGUGAAAAUCCAGGGCUCAACCCUGGACCUGCGUUCGAUACGGGCAGACUAGAGUUCGGUAGGGGAGACUGGAAUUCCUGGUGUAGCGGUGAAAUGCGCAGAUAUCAGGAGGAACACCGGUGGCGAAGGCGGGUCGCUGGGCCGAAACUGACGCUGAGGAGCGAAAGCCAGGGGAGCAAACGGG